ACACUCUCUCAACUUCUUUCUCUCACUUGAUCUUCAAACCACCAUAACUUUUGAUCUAGAGCUCCGAUUGCCGCUCCGUUUGCGGCCACGCGUUCACCGCGAAGAGCUCUACAAAACCCAUACAAUUAAUCUUGAGGACCCAACUCUCUUGAAGGAGAAGGUUAAUCUUGUCUCCUUGGACCUUGGAUGUGGUUGUGUGUGUGUGGAUAUUGGAGCUUGAUUGGUGAUUUUGAAAAGCUUGGAAAGGGUUUGGUGGUGAAAA
This is a long non-coding RNA of Arachis duranensis, 262 nucleotides long. RefSeq lists it as uncharacterized. The record is from RefSeq and is a predicted model, not a curated record. The transcript is spliced from 3 exons. NCBI's taxonomy places the organism in Eukaryota, Viridiplantae, Streptophyta, Magnoliopsida, Fabales, Fabaceae.